Molecule: unclassified non-coding RNA, 1214 nt
Filed under: Hevea brasiliensis (rubber tree)
Lineage: Eukaryota; Viridiplantae; Streptophyta; Magnoliopsida; Malpighiales; Euphorbiaceae
Source: RNAcentral
GGAUCAAACAGGUUAGACCAUCCCAGCUUUGAUACAAGUGAAAGCAAUACAAACAAAUGCAGAAGAACACAAUGUAAAUUUUGUUGAACUUAUACAAUGACAUCUUGUGAAACGACAGUCAGAUACAGACUCACACCUAACAGACUAAACCUCCCAACUGUUUCUAGAUUUAUCCCCAAUUAAUAAAACCCCAAAUACAAGGAUAACACUCAGCCUCACGUAAAUACAAGAGAAGUACUAUCACAUUCUGAAACCUUUCUAGCGGAACGAAGCACCACCACAUCUAAUCUUUCUUCUUAUCUUUCAGUGGUCCUCUUGGAAUUUUACUCAAAACCUUUUCAUCAAACACAGCAUAUUGCUUCUUGAUCUCGUGCAUUGCUUUCUCGGCUAAUGGAUCCACUUUAUCUUCAUAUUUCUCAUAAAUAACAGGAACGGUGUGGAGGAGCACAAAUGAUAUAUAGAACAGAGUCAAAAAGUUGCACCAGCUACCAACAAUUGAGGUGAUCCACAAACCAUCUCUGAACUAUGUCUCUGUUUCAUCCUUCAGUUGGGAUCAGGACAAUGACAAAGUGAAGAUUUAUCUAUCAUUGGAAGGAGUAGAUCAGGAGAAAACGGAGACAGAUUUCAAGCCUAUGUCUUUUGAUGCCAAGUUUCAUGAUGUAAAUGGAAAGAACUAUCGCUUCUCCUUGCCGAAAUUGAACAGAGAGAUUGUACCUGAGAAAUGUAAGGUGCUCGUGAAACCAUCAAGGGUUGUCAUCACCUUGGCCAAAGCCUCCAAAGGGAACUGGUUGGAUUUGCAUUACAAAGAGGACAAGUUCAAGCCUAGUUUGGACAAAGAAAAAGACCCCAUGGCAGGAAUAAUGGAUAUGAUGAAGAACAUGUAUGAGGACGGUGAUGAGGAAAUGAAGAAGACAAUUGCAAAAGCCUGGACUGAUGCUAGAUCUGGCAAGGCAGCUGAUCCAUUGAAACGCUACACCUGAAUGUUGAAAUAGGUCUCUUAACAGAUUUAGGGGUUUAUUCCGGGUGAGCAGCCAUUAUCGUUUUGAGUAGCUUGUAAAACUGGAUAAUCAAGGAUCUCUAUGUAGAAAUUUUACAGUAUGUUGCUUGAAUGGUCGUUUUUUGAGCCUUAACUUAGUAUAUAUAUGCAGCUGGUGUCAAGUAAUUGUCUUUGAACCUUGUUUUGAUAAGCUUCAUUGUUGAAUGUGAUUCCCAAG